This 827-nucleotide ribosomal RNA is filed under the name Rimularia limborina. Its description in RNAcentral is "eukaryotic LSU rRNA". The stretch from base 472 to 625 matches the Rfam family "5.8S ribosomal RNA". Lineage: Eukaryota; Fungi; Ascomycota; Lecanoromycetes; Trapeliales; Trapeliaceae. The record is from RNAcentral.
CCUUUUACCCCCCCCGGAAGCCUUGUAUCCCAAGUCCGCACCCACCUGUCCGAGUAUAAGUGGUCCUGUGCGGGCGAGGCCUGUACUGUGGUGGGGAAGCCCUCUUGACCGGGUCAAAGGGGGACCACCCGCAGCCGUUGAUUUCCCCCCAACGGUCCACAGAUCAAACGCAGCGUCGUCUUCGGUUCGCGCCCGCCGUUUCUCCCGGCGGAGUCCCCGGAGAUCAAGAUAUGAUCGGCAGCUCAGAGGUUUCCUUUGAGCAACCCUGGUUCCGUAGGUGAACCUGCGGAAGGAUCAUUACCGAGAUAGGGUCCUUGGGGCCCGACCCUCCCACCCUGUGUGAACCUACCUCUGUUGCUUUGGCGGGCCGCGGGGCCCACCGGCCCCCCGUCGACCCCGGUGGACGAGCGCCCGUCAAAGACCCCCGAAAACCUUGUUUCUUUGCCGUCCGAGCCAUUGCGAAAUAAGCAAAACUUUCAACAACGGAUCUCUUGGUUCCGGCAUCGAUGAAGAACGCAGCGAAAUGCGAUAAGUAAUGUGAAUUGCAGAAUUCAGUGAAUCAUCGAAUCUUUGAACGCACAUUGCGCCCUCCGGUAUUCCGGGGGGCAUGCCUGUUCGAGCGUCAUUACGCCCCUCAAGCCCGGCUUGGUAAUUGGGUGCCGCCCCCGGGGGCGCCCCCGAAACGUAGCGGCGACGCGGUCGAGUCUUCAAGCGCAGUAAAACUUUCGGUUUCGCUUGCGGAGGCUUGAACGCGCCCGCCGGACAACCCCCCACCAUUGUAUGGUUGACCUCGGAUCAGGGAGGGAUACCCGCUGAACUUAAGCAUA